UACGUAGGGUGCGAGCGUUGUCCGGAAUUAUUGGGCGUAAAGAGCUCGUAGGCGGUGUGUCACGUCGGCCGUGAAAACCUGCAGCUUAACUGUGGGCGUGCGGUCGAUACGGGCAUCACUGGAGUUCGGCAGGGGGGACUGGAAUUCCUGGUGUAGCGGUGAAAUGCGUAGAUAUCGGGAGGAACACCUGUGGCGAAAGCGGCGCACUGGACCACAACUGACGCUGAGGAGCGAAAGCGUGGGGAGCGAACAGG
RNAcentral lists this ribosomal RNA (254 nucleotides) under uncultured bacterium. Its description in RNAcentral is "partial 16S ribosomal RNA". It matches the Rfam family "Bacterial small subunit ribosomal RNA", at positions 524 to 776 of the family's 1533-position model. The record is from RNAcentral.